This 629-nucleotide ribosomal RNA is filed under the name Latilactobacillus sakei. Its description in RNAcentral is "bacterial SSU rRNA". It matches the Rfam family "Bacterial small subunit ribosomal RNA", at positions 63 to 680 of the family's 1533-position model. The record is from RNAcentral. Lineage: Bacteria; Bacillati; Bacillota; Bacilli; Lactobacillales; Lactobacillaceae.
CUUGCUCCUGAUUGAUAAACAUUUGAGUGAGUGGCGGACGGGUGAGUAACACGUGGGUAACCUGCCCUAAAGUGGGGGAUAACAUUUGGAAACAGAUGCUAAUACCGCAUAAAACCUAACACCGCAUGGUGUAGGGUUGAAAGAUGGUUUCGGCUAUCACUUUAGGAUGGACCCGCGGUGCAUUAGUUAGUUGGUGAGGUAAAGGCUCACCAAGACCGUGAUGCAUAGCCGACCUGAGAGGGUAAUCGGCCACACUGGGACUGAGACACGGCCCAGACUCCUACGGGAGGCAGCAGUAGGGAAUCUUCCACAAUGGACGAAAGUCUGAUGGAGCAACGCCGCGUGAGUGAAGAAGGUUUUCGGAUCGUAAAACUCUGUUGUUGGAGAAGAAUGUAUCUGAUAGUAACUGAUCAGGUAGUGACGGUAUCCAACCAGAAAGCCACGGCUAACUACGUGCCAGCAGCCGCGGUAAUACGUAGGUGGCAAGCGUUGUCCGGAUUUAUUGGGCGUAAAGCGAGCGCAGGCGGUUUCUUAAGUCUGAUGUGAAAGCCUUCGGCUCAACCGAAGAAGUGCAUCGGAAACUGGGAAACUUGAGUGCAGAAGAGGACAGUGGAACUCCAUGUGUAGCG